GAUGAACGCUGGCGGCGUGCUUAAUACAUGCAAGUCGAGCGAACAGACGAGGAGCUUGUUCCUUUGACGUUAGCGGAGGACGGGUGAGUAACACGUGUGUAACCUACCUAUAAGACUGGGAUAACUUCGGGAAACCGGAGAUAAUACCGGAUAAUCUUUCGAACCGUAUGGUUCGAUAGUGAAAGAUGGCUUUGCUAUCACUUAUAGAUGGACCUGCGCCGUAUUAGCUAGUUGGUAAGGUAACGGCUUACCAAGGCAACGAUACGUAGCCGACCUGAGAGGGUGAUCGGCCACACAGGAGCUGAGACACGGUCCAGACACCGACGGGAGGCAGCAGUAGGUAAUCUACCGCAAUGGGCGAAAGCCUGACGGAGCAACGCCGCGUGAGUGAUGAAGGUCUUCGGAUCGUAAAACUCUGUUAUUAGUGAAGAAUAAACGUGUAAGUAACUGUGCACGUCUUGACGGUACCGAAUCAGAAGGCCACGGCUAACUACGU
This 496-nucleotide ribosomal RNA is filed under the name uncultured bacterium. RNAcentral's name for it is "partial 16S ribosomal RNA". It matches the Rfam family "Bacterial small subunit ribosomal RNA", at positions 28 to 506 of the family's 1533-position model. The record is from RNAcentral.